GUGCUCGCUUUGGCAGCACAUAAACUAAAAUUAGAACGAUACAGAGAAGAUUAGCAUGGCCCCUGGGCAAGGAUGACACACAUUCGUGAAGUGUUCCAUAUCUUU
This is a small nuclear RNA of Cebus imitator (Panamanian white-faced capuchin), 105 nucleotides long. The record is from RefSeq and is a predicted model, not a curated record. Lineage: Eukaryota; Metazoa; Chordata; Mammalia; Primates; Cebidae.